This 3600-nucleotide long non-coding RNA is filed under the name Mus musculus (house mouse). Its description in RNAcentral is "predicted gene 16133". Lineage: Eukaryota; Metazoa; Chordata; Mammalia; Rodentia; Muridae. The record is from RNAcentral.
AUGCCAGGCUGCGUAUGCUCCAUCUAUUUAACUUCUCCAGGGAAAGAGGGAUGGUAAGAAUAAACCAUGCAGGUUUAUAGUUGCCCUAGAAAGCAGAAACCCCUGCUAAAACCCGAGAGACCUCUACAGCCUUGGGCUGAGUAGGAUUUUAGUAGGUUGAGCACCUGAGCUCUGCCCUUAGUCAAAUGGCAGACAGCAUCACAGGGAAUGAGGCCACAACCCACAAGAAAGGUGUCUAGAACAGUACUACUCUGAGGAGGCAAGCAUCACAUAAGCAUUAGCCCUGUGGCCAUUGGUUACAGCAGCCAAAGCUGUAGAUAGGAGAAGCUCCUGUGUAUUUUGCCCUUGCAGUUGCUGUCCAACCUCUGCUGAUGGGAACCUAGAGUCCUCUGGUCUACUGGAGGCAUCUAACCUCCACUCAUUCUUCAAAUGCCUUCCUUUUCCCAUCCCCCUGUCUCCUGAAGCUCUGCUGGGAAUAAAGACAGUGAUCACUGAGAGCGCCCAGUGUGCCAUUCCUAUAGUACAUCCUGGGUAGACUCCAUGUCUCUUAUUGGCCACAAGGCCAAAUGCAAACAGAAGGACAAACACAGAGGGCCAGGGGGAAUUCUCCCCCUAGAGAGCUGGCCAAUGUGAAGCCACACUCAGGCACAGCAGUGGGCAGAUGGUUCUAGGAACAGGGCAUGGGGAAGAAAGACAAACUCCUAAGUUAUUUUUAGUGAAAAUGUUUCAUCUCCACAGGAGUGGUCUUUUGGAAGCUUUCUUUGUGAACAAGACUCCACUAACAUUUCUGAAAACAAGGCUGGGAGCGUAGCCAGUGUCAGAGCAUGCGCCUAACACGUGUGAGGCUGUGGGUGGUCUCCAACACCAGAAAAAUAAAGAUCCUUUCAGCUCGUUACCAAAUGCCUGUAGCAGCAGUAGCCGGCUUCACUCUGAAGUGACUAAGCAGCAUCCCCCGGGUGAGGUACCUGCUUGUUUUCUUUUUUCAGAGCUUCUACCAAGCACGAUGUGAAAACCUGAAGAGCAGCUAGUACUUCUGGGGCUCCGUCAGUUUCCAGCAGCACAAACCUGAACAAAGCAAAGGGAGGUGACAGCACCCUGCUGCUCCACACACAAUGCAAGCCCAUUAGUUCAUCAGACUGCAGCUCCUGAGUGAAGGCAGGAGGGAGCAGCCACCCUUCCAGCCUCUCUCAUAUGGCCUUCCCAUGGGUACUUCGGUGUUCACAAACCAGACAGUGCUAGCAACAAGUGUUCUGCUUUUACCAGUGAGGACAGAGCUGCCUGGAGAGUGGAGAUUCCAACACACACAGUCAGAAUCACCAGAGUGGGGCUGUGGAAUUAGAUGUCCUUGGUUUAGUUUCCGUGCCCUUUUACACAACUAACUUUUCUUUUUGUUUAAAGAAAGAAAUCUCAAACUUGAUUAUCCCGAAACAAAAACAAUAACAUGUCUUCUUAUACCUGUGGCCAUUUAAGUUAAGAGUUGGUAUGUUUCAAGAGCAACACAAAUGGUAAGGUAUUGGUUGUAAAAAUUCCUUUCCUGUGUUGGGGCUUGAUGGCGCUUGCCUUUAAUCCCAGCAUUCAGGAGGCAGAGGCAGAGGCAGGUGGGUCUCUGAGUUUAAGGCCACAAACAAACAAACAAACACUCCUUUUCUAGGUCUGGAGAAAUGGCUCAGUGGUUAAGAGCACUUGCUGGUUUUUCAGACCACUUGAAUUCCAUUGCCAGCAUCCGUAUCAGGCAGCUCACAACCUUCCGUAACUAGCUCCUGGGUCCAACACCUCUGACCUUAGUGUAUCUAUAGGAAUCCAUAGGUGCCAACUCUCAUGACUUCGGAGCAGAGCCAACUGGUGUGUUACACACUUCUUGUUACUGGUCCUUUAAACAAAGCACAAGUUCCUAGGACCUAGUCUUUCAAAUAAAAACACCAUUCUGCUGAAAUGUGGCGUUUCCUCUGUCUUUCAGAGAGUUCUUUCUGUUCAAAAUAGUUUUGUGCCUUUUGGCUUUCUUUAGGUCUGUGACAAAGCCCAGCCAGCCCUCAUGUGGUGAAGGGCUGUACUGCAUCUUUACUUGGAGCUGGGACAAACGCUGCAUGGAUAUUUCAGUACCCAAAUGAAUCCCACUUCUCUACCUCAUUUGAGUAUAAACAGGUUAAAGAAUGCCACCACACUCCGGAGGCUGUCUUUUCAAUGCACAGCAACUUCUGAGUUUUCACCCCUAACUACCAAGAGCGCAAACCUCUACGUUCCCACACCAGCCAGAGACCAACUGUUCCCAAAGACAGUAUAUUUACCUGAACAUUUCAUCAACAAUUCUGAAGAUGGCAGGUUGGCAGGCUGCUUGAGGCUAUAAAAAGAAAAGACCAUGAAACAGAGAAAUACAAGAGGAACCUAUCAAUAACAACUUUGGAUUAUUAGGCAAACGAGAAGUUUGGGGCUGCUCCAGAAAAGUGACACAUUCCAUUAGGUUAAGAAAAGAAAAAGUACUUGGUACCCAGAAAAACCCAUAAAAUGCCAGCAGUGGUUCUCUCUGAGCAUGGGCUGUGGGCAAACUUUAUUUACUUAUUUUGUAUUCCUGUUAUAUACCACAUUUUCUAUAGUAAGCCUGUAUGUAAGAAUAAGUUUCAUGAGUGGUUAAGAAGCACUUUAUGACAACAGGACUCAGGCCCUACUCAGCAGCACACUCCACCUGCUGACCUUCACCAUCCACCUCCCCACCAUCCUCGUCCCAUAGUUGGUAAUGAGCACCUAAGAAUCAGGUGGCCACCACUAUUGGGUACAGUUAGCAGUUAAUGGAAAGUACAGCCACGUGACACCCGGUGAAAGCUCCCCAAUCUUUUCUAGAAUACCCUGUCAGUAGGAUUUAAUGGUUUCAGUCUAUAGAAACUGGCUUCCUGAGGCCUAGGAAGAGCCUGCUUACUUAUAUUUUUAGUCAGAGCUUAAAACUUGAGUUUAUGAUAGAUUUUUUUAAAAAGCCUAUUUGUAUUAUAAAACAUUUCACAAUGGCAUCCAGAGAUAAGUAGGCCAGGCUCCAAUAAAGGGAAUUUCUGGAGUAAUUUUGUGUUUGCUAUGACUAGCUUUGGGAAACAUUUUUUUUCUAGCCACCUUGGAUCCUGUGCAUCACUUUUCUGACUUUUCUGAACCACCCUGAAGAAAGUUGAGUGUUUCUUUGGCUUUCCCACUUAAUAGUUAAUUCUGCCAUGGCAGCUUAACUUGCAACAUGGAGUAUGUGCCAUCUAGUGGCCAUACAUGACCAUUACAGGCUGCCACACAAAUGAUGGGAGGCUGUCCUUUUCAUCAAAGACAUUUAUGAUUUGCACGCUAAUGCUUUCUCCUUUUCAAAUAAAGCAACCCAUGAUCUCUAACCCUUUGUCAACGUACAUCUUUCUCCAAAUGAAGCAAACCUAAAAUCCUCAUAAACUUGUUACCUACUUAAGAAAUUAACAACAGAAGAAUGGCAGGUUAUUUCAUGGCUUUGAUCUCCAAAAGUCAUUUAAUCUGCCUGCUUCUCAGCCUCACUGUAAAUACUAACAGUUGUUCAUGCACUUGGACACAGGCCCAGAGAACACUGAAAGAGUUUCUAUGUGUUCAUAAUGGAAAAAUCCAAAC